UGGCAAGUUAUGUGCCAGCAGCCGCGGUAAUUCCAGCUCCAAUAGCGUAUAUUAAAGUUGUUGCAGUUAAAAAGCUCGUAGUUGAAACUUGGGCCUGGCUGGCGGGUCCGCCUCACCGCGUGCACUCGUCCGGCCGGGCCUUCCUUCUGAAGAACCUCAUGCCCUUCACUGGGCGUGUUGGGGAAUCAGGACUUUUACUUUGAAAAAAUUAGAGUGUUCAAAGCAGGCCUUUGCUCGAAUACGUUAGCAUGGAAUAAUAAAAUAGGGCGUGCGUUUCUAUUUUGUUGGUUUCUAGAGACGCCGCAAUGAUUAACAGGAACAGUCGGGGGCAUCAGUAUUCAGUUGUCAGAGGUGAAAUUCUUGGAUUUACUGAAGACUAACUACUGCGAAAGCAUUGCCAAGGAUGUUCAUAAUCAGACGCAUGCA
RNAcentral lists this ribosomal RNA (426 nucleotides) under Pleospora sp. RNAcentral's name for it is "SSU rRNA". It matches the Rfam family "Eukaryotic small subunit ribosomal RNA", at positions 553 to 991 of the family's 1831-position model. Lineage: Eukaryota; Fungi; Ascomycota; Dothideomycetes; Pleosporales; Pleosporaceae. The record is from RNAcentral.